This 425-nucleotide ribosomal RNA is filed under the name uncultured bacterium. Its description in RNAcentral is "partial 16S ribosomal RNA". It matches the Rfam family "Bacterial small subunit ribosomal RNA", at positions 354 to 796 of the family's 1533-position model. The record is from RNAcentral.
GUGAGGAAUUUUGCGCAAUGGGGGCAACCCUGACGCAGCGACGCCGCGUGGAGGACGAAGUCUUUCGGGAUGUAAACUCCUGUCAGUGGGGACGAUAAUGACGGUACCCACAGAGGAAGCACCGGCUAACUCCGUGCCAGCAGCCGCGGUAAGACGGAGGGUGCAAGCGUUGUUCGGAAUUACUGGGCGUAAAGCGUAUGUAGGCGGCAAGUUAAGUUCAAUGUUAAAGCCCACGGCUCAACCGAGGAGAUGCAUUGAAUACUGGCUAGGUAGAGGGUGUUAGAGGAAGACGGAAUUCCCAGUGUAGCGGUGAAAUGCGUAGAUAUUGGGAGGAACAUCGGUAGCGAAAGCGAUCUUCUGGGACAUACCUGACGCUGAGGUACGAAAGCGUGGAGAGCAAACGGGAUUAGAUACCCGUGUAGUCC